AAUGGACGCAAGUCUGAUCAUGCCACGCCGUGUGUAGGAAGAAGGCCCUAGGGUUGUAAACUACUGUCAGGAUAGGGGAAGUCAGUCGUAAUAGUCGGUGUUUGACUGCUAUCCAGAGGAAGCUCCGGCUAAACACGUGCCAGCAGCCGCGGUAAUACGUGUGGGGCGAGCGUUGUUCGGAAUUACUGGGCAUAAAGGGUUCGUAGGCGGUCUACUAAGUCAGGGGUGAAAGUCUGUCGCCCAACGAUGGAUUGCCUUUGAUACUGGUGGACUUGAGUGCAUUAGGGGUGAACGGAACGUGUGGUGUAGCGGUGAAAUGCGUAGAUAUCACACGGAAGGCCAGAGGCGAAGGCGGUUCACUGGGAUGCAACUGACGCUGAGGAACGAAAGCGUGGGGAGCAAACAGGACU
This 410-nucleotide ribosomal RNA is filed under the name uncultured Gammaproteobacteria bacterium. RNAcentral's name for it is "bacterial SSU rRNA". It matches the Rfam family "Bacterial small subunit ribosomal RNA", at positions 370 to 779 of the family's 1533-position model. The record is from RNAcentral. Lineage: Bacteria; Pseudomonadati; Pseudomonadota; Gammaproteobacteria.